GGUUAGUUAGGUUGUUAGUUGCAGUUAGAAAGAAAAGCAGAAAUCUGUGAUACACGCUUGCAUGGAGUUGACCUUGGCUCUGACCAGGCACACCGCCAUGUGCCUCCAAGACAAGGCCGCGACCUUCCUUGUUGAGGCGUUUCCGCCCAACUAAAUGGAUACCCUCACAUUCAUGUCACUGCCGCUGAGCAGCAGCAGAGAGGAGGGGAAGCAGAGCAGGGCGUUUGUGGUUGGAAAACUGGUGGAGAUGGAAACGGUUUGUCUGCUGCAGUGAAACUAAAUGACAAGCAAAGGCGAGGACACAAACAUUUU
Long non-coding RNA from Gambusia affinis (western mosquitofish), 312 nucleotides. RefSeq lists it as uncharacterized. The transcript is spliced from 3 exons. The record is from RefSeq and is a predicted model, not a curated record. Lineage: Eukaryota; Metazoa; Chordata; Actinopteri; Cyprinodontiformes; Poeciliidae.